RNA transcript from Bombina bombina (fire-bellied toad), 5423 nucleotides. RefSeq lists it as uncharacterized. The transcript is spliced from 2 exons. Lineage: Eukaryota; Metazoa; Chordata; Amphibia; Anura; Bombinatoridae. The record is from RefSeq and is a predicted model, not a curated record.
GCUUACCUUUUUAAGCCCAGUACAGGAAGCACAUGUCCUCUUUCUGCUGUUUUUCUCAAAGUUUUCACAUGAGACGUUCAAGGAGAUCUAAAGCACCUCCAAAGCGAAUCAUGGAGGCUGGGGAGGAACCUGCAGAGAGAGAAGUUGUUGAAGACAGCGAUGAAGCAGCUGAGUGGAUCCCUCCAUCGCCAGAAACGGUGGGUCGAACCCCUUUACUUCCCUCCCUUUCCCCUUCACUUGAUCAAUCCUCCGGGGAGGUUGGGGGUAGUGGUGGGGAGAUUUCAGAUAGGGCCCUACUGGAGGUGCUGGCAUUAGUGAGCAAUAUGGGGGGUAGUGCUGGGCAUCCAGAUGGCGCGUCUGAGCCCGUCGGCCAUGCGGCCGGGAGUGAGCCCUCUUUUCGGGGGGUUAGUUCUGACAUAGGCCCCAAUUUAGUUACCACGUCGGGCCCUGCCGGGCCCGUUUCUGGCCUUCGCAGGCCCACAUGUCCCCCUAAAGUAGCCGGUAAAGCGGGGGUCCCCGCUAGGCCCGCUAUGCGGUCUACAGCCGCUAGCUCCUCUGUCCCCUGCUCUCCGGUCCCCCUGGCUGGGCCUCCCUCCCCUCGCGUGGUCGCGGCGGGCCCUUCUCGGCCUUGUGGCGUUCCGGUCCCCGGCCCCUACGGGCCUUGCUCUUUUGCCCCAAUAGUUGGUAGUUUUAGUGGGAGCAGUUCGGCCUUACCUCCGACGUCGUCUCCGGUGUCUCAGGACUCCAUCGCGGCCGCGGUAUCCCUUUUCCAGAUGUGGGCAUCUUCUUUGUCGGGGUCUCCGGGUGCGUCCCACGUGGUCCUUGGUCCUCCGGCGGUGGUUGCGCAGGCUCCCGCGUCGACUGUUCCUCCAUCGGCGGCGACUUCCGGUUUGCGGUCCUCCGAGGGCGGGACUUCCGGUGACGUCAUUUCCGAUGACGUCACUGCCGGUCCCGCCAUUUGUCAGCGGUCAUCGAAGCGGAGCAGGUCGAGUUCCCCGCGCGGCGUCCAAGGUAAGAGAGGAGUGCCGCGGGGGGGAACUUAUGCUCCGGGGGGCAAUUCUGCUGAUGCAAUGGGGUCUACAGGGGCAGCACUUGUGGGGGUUGAUCUUCACGAGGGGGCUAAUGGUGAAUCAAUGGAGGAAUUACCUCAGGGGGGGCAUUUCUCUGGCCAAAUGAACCCGGGGGUCCCUGUUGGAGGCCCCCGUGGGCAGGUUGCAAAGGGUAUUACGGCCCGGCAAAGGGCAAAGGCCCCGUCGGGCAGUAAUCCUCGUCAAGGGGCAAAGGCCCCAUUGGGCAAUUAUAAAGGUGUCGCAGCACCUAUUGGGCACGCUAGGAGUAUGCCUAAGAGCGCUGGCAGUAAUAGUGAGGUUUCUUUGGGCAAAGGCGGCGCCCGUGCAGGCGGCGCUUUUGGCGCGCAAAUUAGUGGGAGUGUAGGGGCUAGGCCUCAGGCUCCGGGCGCAUCCCCGGCAGCAGCGAGGAAGGUAGUAACUAGGUCUUCUACCAAACAUGGUUCACCAGAACAGUUUCAGAGUUUAGAUUUAGCGGUUGCAUCCACUAGACGUAAGAAAGCCACCCCUAUCACUCAGAAGUCAGUACAUUUUAGUGAAGAGAUAGAGGACUUUACAGAAGAUGAGCAGGGUGUGUAUGAUGAUGUUGCAAGUGGCGAAGAUAACCAUGAUGUGUGUGAGGGGAUGCAUGAACGGUCUGGGCACAGGGGGAGGGGUAGAGCAGACCUUCCCCUUCGUGGUACUCCUCUCUGGCAAUCUCUUUUGCAGGAAAGCGACAUGGCUACGUCAGGAGAUUCAGGCAGCGGGUUGGAGAGAGGUGCUGAGAGCGGCCAGGACUCCAUGGAGUCAGAGGAUGAGCGUCCUUCUACUUCGGGAGUCGUGGCGAUUCCAAACAGGACUGGUGUGAGAGAUGGUGAGUCCUCAGUUUCAGUGGGGUUGCGGGGUUUUACCUCAUCCUCGGAUGAUUCUGGGUCAGAAAAUGACAAGGAACUGGGGUUGCAUGGGAAGGGCAAUAAAAGAAUGUAUAAGAUGCUUAGAUGGUUAACUGAUGAGAAGAGAUCAGAAAAAGGGGGUUUGCGUGACCGUCAUGACUAUAUUGCCUCUGGUAGGUCCGACAGGGCUGCCCCACCCAGACUUCGCAUAAGUGGGGUGGGGAGGCCUGUUAAUCGGAAGGUGGCACUCCAAGGGGAUACUAGAUCCUGGUCUUCUUAUGAUCUGCACGAGCAUUUGAAGACUAAGACAGUACGGAGAAUUCAAGAGGGUAAAUUUGUUAACAUCUUCGAGCUCUCGGUGGAAGCCCUAAGGCAGAAAGCGAGAGCGGAGGAUGGGACAGGCCCCAAGAAGUACCAGCGCCCAGAUACAUUUCACGAAUGGCGCCGGUGUUUCAGGAUCUAUGCGUCCUGCUAUUUGCAAAAAUGGCCGGACCAGUGUUUAGCCGUGUUGAAAUACAUGGAAAACAUGGAGAUCAUUGCUGAUAAUUAUCGCGAUGGUGCCUGGCGGGAUUACGAUGAGGAGUUCCGCAGAAAGAUGGUGGGUAAUCCACUAUUGGAUUUCGGGUGCGUAGAAAUGCAACUCUGGGCCCGGCUGGGUCCCGAGAAAUCACUAGGUACUGCGGGGGCCCCGGCGGGUGCAACGCAGUUUCGACCCGCAAAUAGAUUUCGCAGACGCCCAGCUGGGGUUUGUUGGAAAUUCCAGGACAAGCAAUGCACGUUGGGAACCGCGUGUUCCUUUCGGCACGCUUGUCGCAUCUGCGGGGGAUUUCACCCUGCCGCGGACUGCGUUAAAAAAGGGGAGAGACAGGACAGGACUGGGCCAAGAGGCCCUGCUGUCGCUAAGAGCGGACACCCCGCUGAAGGUGGCCGCAAUUAGUAAGUGGCUCACGCUAUACCCCGAUAGGGUAACGGCGGCCUUGUUGGAGUCAGGGCUCCGGGAAGGUUUUGUUAUCCCCGUACAAGGUCCGGUUUCGGGUGCGGCUUCUCGCAGGAACCUGAAAUCUGCCUCCCUUUUCCCGGAGGUAUUAAAGGAGAAAUUGGGUAAGGAAGUUUCACUGGGUAGAAUGGCUGGCCCGUUUAGGGAAAAACCUAUGCCGGGAUUGGUUAUCUCGCCUCUAGGGGUCGUGCCCAAGAAAGACCCAGGAAAGUUUAGGAUGAUACAACAUCUCUCAUACCCAAAGGGAAAGUCAGUCAAUGACGCCAUUCCUCAGGACUUAAGUACCGUAUAUUACCAGUCAUUUGAUGAUGCCUUGCAAGUAGUACGCAGAUCGGGUCAUGGGGCUUUACUGGCCAAGCUUGACAUCGAGUCUGCUUUCAGACUCUUGCCGAUUCACCCCGCAUCAUUUUACUUAAUGGGUUGUUUUUUCAACGGACACUAUUAUGUUGACCGUUGUUUGCCCAUGGGGUGUUCCAUUUCCUGCGCCUAUUUUGAGGCGUUUAGUUCCUUCUUGCAUUGGGCCGUGGCGGAAGUGACAGGAGAGGAUAGGAUUGCUCACUACUUGGACGACUUUCUCCUGGUCGGCAGACAGGGGUCUAGGGACUGUGAGCUGCUCCUUUACGCCAUGCGGCUGUUGAUGGAGAAAUUUGGAGUCCCCUUAGCAGAAGACAAAUCGGAGGGCCCUUGCACUUGUCUAACUUUCCUGGGUAUCGAAAUUGAUUCGGUAGCCCAGGAAUGUAGGCUUCCGGUUGAUAAGGUACAGAAGAUGUUGGCAGCAGUCAGGAGCCUCGCAGCGGCGCAGUUUUGCACGCUGAAAGAGCUCUAAUCGGUUUUGGGUCUGCUCAACUUUGCAGGGAGGGUCAUCCCGAUGGGGAGGAUUUUCCUGAAAAGAAUGGAGCGCUUGUUGCCGGGAGUUACUUCCCCUAAGGCCAAACUAAUGGUUAAUAGUGACAUGAGGGAAGACCUCCGUGUCUGGGAUCUGUUCCUCAGGGAUUUCAAUGGGAUCUGUAUUUGGAGAACCCCCCAGACUCCGGCGCGAGAACUGCACCUCUUUACUGAUGCUGCUGGGGGUUUUGGAUACGGCGCCUAUCUCAAUGGCGAGUGGAGCGCCGAACCUUGGCCGGCAGAGUGGGCGGCCAGGGGCCUGACCAGGAACCUGUGCCUUCUAGAGCUUUUCCCCAUUCUGGUGGCGUUGGAGAUCUGGGGGGACAAGCUCGAGAACCGCUCCGUCAUUUUUUGGACGGACAAUUUGAGCGUGGUUUACGCCAUUAACGGUCUCUCUUCGUCCUCACCACCAGUAAUUCGAUAUCUGAGAAUUCUGGUUUUGAGAUGCCUCAAGCGGAACAUUGAGUUUCGGGCUAGGCAUGUCCCAGGAGUUAAAAACGUUAUUGCUGAUGCACUAUCUCGCUUUCAAUGGGAAAAUUUUAGGAAAUGUGCUCCUGAGGCUGCCACUCAUGGCUUUCCCUGUCCCCCUUUUCUUUGGCAGGUGGCUUUGGAUGGCAGUCCCUGAUUCCGGUGCUUAAGGCGUCCCUGGCACCUUCCACUUGGAAGUCCUAUAUAAGGUACUGGGAAGAAUGGGUAUUCUUCUGCGAUGUCCAAGGAUUUCCUUCUUGUGCUGGGCCUAGAAGUGGGCCACUUCGUGCCUGGAUCGUUGGGCACUCGUUCGUACACUGGGCGGCUAUCCGAGCGGCAUCGCAACCUGGAGGGCAGCAGCUUGGGUUCUCAUUCUCCAGGGUGGUAGUUAGGUGGUUAGGGAGGAGAGGCCUUUGCUGGGCAGAUCUGCCUGGGUUACUGCAAUCCGCCAUGAGGCGGUGGGAGAAACCCCAUGUGCUGAUCAUCCACUUAGGUGGAAAUGAUCUCGGCUCAAUUCCCGGCCGGGACUUGAGCGCAGUGAUCCAAUCAGAUCUGCGCACCUUUAAAGCUUGGUUGCCUGGUGUGAGAAUGGGCUGGUCAAACAUUAUACCGAGGUUGACGUGGAGACACAUGGCCAAUCAUAGGGCAGCGUUCCAAGUUCGCAAGAAGCUCAAUAGAGAUGUUAGGAAGCUUAUGUGCGAGCUAGGUGGUUUUGUUGUGGAACACAAGUUCAUUACGGCCGCUGACCGUAGCCUGUACCGAGGCGACGGGGUCCAUCUUACGGACCAUGGCAUGGACCUGUUUAUUGAAGAUAUACGUCAGUCCCUACUCCUAUUUGUGUGAGUUGGGUGGCGGCGAGAGUGGCCCUUGAUAUUCGGGCGAUCUCGUGGCGGGUGGACAGUGUCCGGGGGCAGGAUGUGAUCGAGGUAGAGUGACGGCACUUCCGGCCAGGGAUGAAGUCCCCAGACGCGCGUCUGGGGUGUUCCCUGCCCGUGUGAUUACGAUGCCGAGAAUUCCCUGUUUUAUAGUAUUGAGCUACGCUCUGCUUCUUCUCCUGCGCCCUGGUACUGCCCAUCUUGUUAGCAUGGGUUACUACGUUUUAGCUAGUACCUGAUUGCCGCCCCCCUGGUCCAU